UACGUAGGGGGCAAGCGUUGUCCGGAUUUACUGGGCGUAAAGAGCGCGCAGGCGGUCGUUCAAGUCGGGGGUGAAAGCCCCCGGCUCAACUGGGGAGGGUCCCGCGAUACUGAUCGACUCGAAGGCAGGAGAGGGUAGUGGAAUUCCCGGUGUAGUGGUGAAAUGCGUAGAUAUCGGGAGGAACACCAGUGGCGAAGGCGACUACCUGGCCUGUUCUUGACGCUGAGGCGCGAAAGCUAGGGGAGCAAACGGG
RNAcentral lists this ribosomal RNA (253 nucleotides) under uncultured bacterium. RNAcentral's name for it is "partial 16S ribosomal RNA". It matches the Rfam family "Bacterial small subunit ribosomal RNA", at positions 524 to 776 of the family's 1533-position model. The record is from RNAcentral.